This 127-nucleotide ribosomal RNA is filed under the name Vibrio navarrensis. Its description in RNAcentral is "partial 16S ribosomal RNA". It matches the Rfam family "Bacterial small subunit ribosomal RNA", at positions 1 to 118 of the family's 1533-position model. The record is from RNAcentral. Lineage: Bacteria; Pseudomonadati; Pseudomonadota; Gammaproteobacteria; Vibrionales; Vibrionaceae.
UUUAAUUGAAGAGUUUGAUCAUGGCUCAGAUUGAACGCUGGCGGCAGGCCUAACACAUGCAAGUCGAGCGGCAGCACAGAGAAACUUGUUUCUCGGGUGGCGAGCGGCGGACGGGUGAGUAAUGCCU